GUGAUCAAGCGACGCCGCGUGCGGGAUGAAGGUCUUCGGAUUGUAAACCCCUGUCACUCGGGAUCAAAACCUUUGACUUAACACGUCAAGGGCUGAUAGUACCGAGAGAGGAAGGCACGGCUAACUUCGUGCCAGCAGCCGCGGUAAGACGAAGGUGGCGACCGUUGUUCGGAAUCACUGGGCAUAAAGAGCUCGUAGGCGGUGAAGAAAGUCGGGUGUGAAAUCCCUCGGCCCAACCGAGGAACUGCGCCCGAAACUACUUUGCUUGAGGACGGAAGGGGAGCGUGGAAUUCCUGGUGGAGCGGUGAAAUGCGUUGAUAUCAGGAGGAACACCGGCGGCGAAGGCGACGCUCUGGUCCGUAUCUGACGCUGAGGAGCGAAAGCUAGGGGAGCAAACGGGAUUAGAUACCCCGGUAGUCCUAGCCGUAAACGAU
RNAcentral lists this ribosomal RNA (434 nucleotides) under uncultured anaerobic ammonium-oxidizing bacterium. RNAcentral describes it as "bacterial SSU rRNA". It matches the Rfam family "Bacterial small subunit ribosomal RNA", at positions 383 to 810 of the family's 1533-position model. The record is from RNAcentral.